ACAGAAAGUUCUUUGUUUCAGUCGAUAAUGGAAUUAGAAUUCCAAUAGCUAUAGAAGUUGUUAUCACUUUCUUUAUAAUCUCUUCAAUGCUGGAACUGUGUGGUUGGAUAGACAUAUUUCUGCAGCCAUUCUUGGUAGGUUCAUUAUAAAGAUAAAGAGCUCAUGGGGUCCUGAGCAGUAUUUGUCCUGGCAUGGAAUAUAGAGAGAUGUUUAAAAGGCAGAGUUGAGGAUAUGCAUGCAUCCUUUGGUAAAUAAACUGUAUUGAUGUCAAUAUCAGCAUUUAUUUGUGGACAAUAAACUUUCUAGAUGUCCUAGUUCUCUUAUUCCCUGCAUCUCUCUUUUUUCUUUCUUUUUUAAAUAAAAGAAAAAAGCAAACUUUUAC
RNAcentral lists this long non-coding RNA (382 nucleotides) under Ricinus communis (castor bean). Its description in RNAcentral is "long non-coding RNA (RCOM_LNC000567)". The record is from RNAcentral. Lineage: Eukaryota; Viridiplantae; Streptophyta; Magnoliopsida; Malpighiales; Euphorbiaceae.